Molecule: transfer RNA, 92 nt
Rfam family: tRNA
About the family: Transfer RNA (tRNA) molecules are approximately 80 nucleotides in length. Their secondary structure includes four short double-helical elements and three loops (D, anti-codon, and T loops).
GGAGACGUGAGUGAGUGGCUGAAACCAGCGGUUUGCCAAACCAUCGUGCCCUGAAUGGGGCACGAUGGGUUCGAAUCCCGGCGUCUCCGCCA